CCUACGGGAGGCAGCAGUCGGGAAUUUUGGGCAAUGGGCGAAAGCCUGACCCAGCAACGCCGCGUGAAGGAUGAAAUCCCUCGGGAUGUAAACUUCGCAAGAACGGGAAGAAUAAGUGAGGGUUAAUAUCUCUCGCGAUGACGGUACCGUUUGUAAGCUCCGGCUAACUCCGUGCCAGCAGCCGCGGUAAUACGGGGGGAGCAAGCGUUGUUCGGAUUUACUGGGCGUAAAGGGCGCGUAGGCGGCCAGCGCAAGUCAGUUGUGAAAUCUCCGAGCUUAACUCGGAAAGGUCAACUGAUACUGCGCGGCUAGAGUGCGGAAGGGGCAACUGGAAUUCUCGGUGUAGCGGUGAAAUGCGUAGAUAUCGAGAGGAACACCUGCGGCGAAGGCGGGUUGCUGGGCCGACACUGACGCUGAGGCGCGAAAGCUAGGGGAGCGAACGGGAUUAGAUACCCCGGUAGUCCUAGCCUUAAACGAUGAAUGCUUGGUGUCUGGGGUUAUAUAGUCCCCGGGUGCCGUCGCUAACGCUUUAAGCAUUCCGCCUGGGGAGUACGGUCGCAAGACUGAAACUCAAAGGAAUUGACGGGGACCCGCACAAGCGGUGGAGCAUGUGGUUUAAUUCGACGCAACGCGAGGAACCUUACCCAGGCUUGAACUGCAGGUGACAUCCUACGAAAGUAGGCUUCCGCAAGGACACCUGUAGAGGUGCUGCAUGGCUGUCGUUCAGCU
This 729-nucleotide ribosomal RNA is filed under the name uncultured Acidobacteriaceae bacterium. Its description in RNAcentral is "bacterial SSU rRNA". It matches the Rfam family "Bacterial small subunit ribosomal RNA", at positions 338 to 1060 of the family's 1533-position model. The record is from RNAcentral. Lineage: Bacteria; Pseudomonadati; Acidobacteriota; Terriglobia; Terriglobales; Acidobacteriaceae.